This is a long non-coding RNA of Lutra lutra (Eurasian river otter), 397 nucleotides long. RefSeq lists it as uncharacterized. The record is from RefSeq and is a predicted model, not a curated record. NCBI's taxonomy places the organism in Eukaryota, Metazoa, Chordata, Mammalia, Carnivora, Mustelidae. The transcript has 2 exons.
GCAGCCCUCUCUCCCUGCCUAUAGACAGCUGUCUUCUCCCCUGUCCUCACAUAGUCUAUGUGUGUUUGGGUCCUGAUCCCUUCUUCCUGUAAGAACACACACAGGCCAUAUUGGAUGAGGGCCUCCUCUGAAGACCUCAUUUUAUCUUGAUCACCUCUGUAUAAAGGCCCCAUCUCCAAAUACAGUCAUAAUCCAAGAUGCUGACACCUCCUGACAGGACACACCUGGGUGAGGAUGGUCGCUGGCUACAGCAACACUGGGAACAAAAACGUGGAAACAACUGAAGGAGCGACUACAUGAAUCAAGACAGGAAACCACAGACCCAGGAGGGGAGGCGGCACGCGAUCCCAUGCUGUGUUUGGAUCCCUGCGUCCUAACCUUGACGAUGCAGCUGAGG